RNAcentral lists this ribosomal RNA (408 nucleotides) under uncultured bacterium. Its description in RNAcentral is "partial 16S ribosomal RNA". It matches the Rfam family "Bacterial small subunit ribosomal RNA", at positions 28 to 526 of the family's 1533-position model. The record is from RNAcentral.
GACGAACGCUGGCGGCGUGCUUAACACAUGCAAGUCGACCGAAGUGGCGCACGGGUGAGUAACGCGUACUCCAACUGCCCUUCAGAGGGGGACCACAGUUGGAAACGACUGCUAAUCCCGCAUCCUGAGGGAGGGGAAUGCGUCUGUGUAGCUGUUUGGAGGUGAAACGGCCCACCAAGGCUAUGAUCAGUAGCCGGACGUGGGUGAGGAACGGCAACAGUGGGACUUAGACACGGCCCAUAACCCUAUGGGAGGCAGCAGUAGGGAAUCUUCCGCAAUGGACGAAAGUCUGACGGAGCAACGCCGCGUGAGUGAUGAAGGCCGUCGGGUUGUAAAGCGCUGUUAAUCGGGACGCGGUACCGGAUUAGAAAGCCACGGCUAACUACGUGCCAGCAGCCGCGGUAAUUC